RNAcentral lists this long non-coding RNA (236 nucleotides) under Elaeis guineensis (African oil palm). RNAcentral describes it as "long non-coding RNA (EGUI_LNC011791)". The record is from RNAcentral. Lineage: Eukaryota; Viridiplantae; Streptophyta; Magnoliopsida; Arecales; Arecaceae.
CCUCAGGGUUUUGAAGAAUGGGAGGCAUCUCUCAGCCGACCGAGAGAUGAAUCGGCUGAGCGUGAUGAUCUUUCCAUUGAGCUGCUGCACCUUUUUUUUGGUGUUCAGGUGCCGUAUGUCGAUGAUCGCCUUUAUCUUCUCGGGGUUGGCUUCGAUUCCACAUUGAGAAAUGAGGAAUCCGAGGAACUUCCUCGAAGCUACCCCGAAGGCGCACUUAGUCGGAUUUAGCUUCAUCC